This 667-nucleotide ribosomal RNA is filed under the name uncultured Vibrionaceae bacterium. RNAcentral describes it as "bacterial SSU rRNA". It matches the Rfam family "Bacterial small subunit ribosomal RNA", at positions 1 to 671 of the family's 1533-position model. Lineage: Bacteria; Pseudomonadati; Pseudomonadota; Gammaproteobacteria; Vibrionales; Vibrionaceae. The record is from RNAcentral.
UAGAGUUUGAUCAUGGCUCAGAUUGAACGCUGGCGGCAGGCCUAACACAUGCAAGUCGAGCGGUAACAUGUCUAGCUUGCUAGAUGAUGACGAGCGGCGGACGGGUGAGUAAUGCUUGGGGAUCUGCCUUAGAGUGGAGGAUAACCAUUGGAAACGAUGGCUAAUACUGCAUAGUAUCUGCGGAUUAAAGGGGGCUUCGGCUCUUGCUUUAAGAUGAACCCAAGUGGGAUUAGCUAGUUGGUGAGGUAAUGGCUCACCAAGGCGACGAUCCCUAGCUGGUCUGAGAGGAUGAUCAGCCACACUGGAACUGAGACACGGUCCAGACUCCUACGGGAGGCAGCAGUGGGGAAUAUUGCACAAUGGGCGAAAGCCUGAUGCAGCCAUGCCGCGUGUGUGAAGAAGGCCCUAGGGUUGUAAAGCACUUUCAGUCAGGAGGAAAGGUUAGUAGUUAAUACCUGCUUGCUGUGACGUUACUGACAGAAGAAGCACCGGCUAACUUCGUGCCAGCAGCCGCGGUAAUACGAGGGGUGCAAGCGUUAAUCGGAAUUACUGGGCGUAAAGCGAGCGUAGGCGGCUGAAUAAGCUGGAUGUGAAAAACCGGGGCUCAACCUCGGCCGUGCAUUCAGAACUGUUUAGCUAGAGUCCUGUAGAGGGGGGUAGAAUUUCA